RNAcentral lists this transfer RNA (79 nucleotides) under Reticulibacter mediterranei. RNAcentral describes it as "tRNA-Glu". It matches the Rfam family "tRNA". From Rfam's summary of the family: Transfer RNA (tRNA) molecules are approximately 80 nucleotides in length. Lineage: Bacteria; Bacillati; Chloroflexota; Ktedonobacteria; Ktedonobacterales; Reticulibacteraceae. The record is from RNAcentral.
UGGCGCAUUCGUCUAGCGGUUCAGGACAUCGCCCUCUCAAGGCGGAGAUCACGGGUUCGAAUCCCGUAUGCGCUACCCA